ACUCCUACGGGAGGCAGCAGUGGGGAAUAUUGCACAAUGGGCGCAAGCCUGAUGCAGCCAUGCCGCGUGUGUGAAGAAGGCCUUCGGGUUGUAAAGCACUUUCAGUCGUGAGGAAGGCGGGUACGUUAAUAGCGUAUUCGUUUGACGUUAGCGACAGAAGAAGCACCGGCUAACUCCGUGCCAGCAGCCGCGGUAAUACGGAGGGUGCGAGCGUUAAUCGGAAUUACUGGGCGUAAAGCGCAUGCAGGUGGUUUGUUAAGUCAGAUGUGAAAGCCCGGGGGCUCAACCUCGGAAUAGCAUUUGAAACUGGCAGACUAGAGUACUGUAGAGGGGGUAGAAUUUCAGGUGUAGCGGUGAAAUGCGUAGAGAUCUGAAGGAAUACCGGUGGCGAAGGCGGCCCCCUGGACAGAUACUGACACUCAGAUGCGAAAGCGUGGGGAGCAAACAGGAUUAGAUACCCUGGUAGGACAGUG
Molecule: ribosomal RNA, 473 nt
Filed under: uncultured bacterium
Lineage: Bacteria
Description: bacterial SSU rRNA
Rfam family: Bacterial small subunit ribosomal RNA
Source: RNAcentral